UUUCUCAAGAUUAUUAUUGAAUUAUAAAUUAUAAAUUAUUAUUAACUAUUAUUAUUAAAUAAUAUUAUAUAUAUAUAUAUGUAUAUAAAACAAAUGAAGAAAAAGAAUAAAAAGAAACAAAGAAGAAUAAGAAACAGAGAGCAUUCGAAAAACAGGGGAAGAAAAGGGCAAGAAAAGAAAAAGGGAAAAUUAAGAUUUUGAAGCUUCAAACUUAUUUGCCAACAAAGAACCUGAAGCAUCAGCAUCGAAAGGAAAGGAGAAAGUCAUCGAGGACUAAAACGGGAGAAUUACGGUGUGUAUUACUAUAAUUUGAAUUUUAAUUAUUAUUGAUUGCUGAAUUUUUUAUUGUUAUGUAUGGUAAGUAAGACUUGAGGUAAGUAUGUGAAAUUGAUAUGAAUAUUGAGUGAAAAUGAAAGUGAUGCAAAUUGAAUCAAAUUGAAUUGAAUAAGUGAAUUAUGGAAUAUGUAAUUAUUUGAAAAGUGUAUUGAUUGAAAAAUGAUUGGUGAUUUGAAUUGUGAAUUGAAAGUGAUAUAGGAUUGAGAAAGUGAAUUGAAUACCCUAUUAA
This is a long non-coding RNA of Gossypium arboreum, 565 nucleotides long. RefSeq lists it as uncharacterized. The record is from RefSeq and is a predicted model, not a curated record. Lineage: Eukaryota; Viridiplantae; Streptophyta; Magnoliopsida; Malvales; Malvaceae. The transcript is spliced from 2 exons.